This 352-nucleotide ribosomal RNA is filed under the name uncultured Racocetra. Its description in RNAcentral is "SSU rRNA". It matches the Rfam family "Eukaryotic small subunit ribosomal RNA", at positions 569 to 929 of the family's 1831-position model. Lineage: Eukaryota; Fungi; Glomeromycota; Glomeromycetes; Diversisporales; Gigasporaceae. The record is from RNAcentral.
AGCAGCCGCGGUAAUUCCAGCUCCAAUAGCGUAUAUUAAAGUUGCUGCAGUUAAAAAGUUGGUAGUUGAAUUUGGGGGUUCUACCGUUGGUCGGGCUUUGUCUGUACUGGCGUGUAGAAUUUCUACCUUCUGGGGAACCAUCAUGUUAUUAAUUUAACGUGGUGGGAAACCAGGACCUUUACCUUGAAAAAAUUAGAGUGUUCAAAGCAGGCUUAUGUCUGAAUACAUUAGCAUGGAAUAAUAGAAUAGGACGGUGGUCCUGUUUUGUUGGUUUCUGAAUCACCGUAAUGAUUAAUAGGGAUAGUUGGGGGCAUUAGUAUUCAAUUGUCAGAGGUGAAAUUCUUGGAUUUAU